AAGUCCACAUAGAAGAUUUUAUUAUUUAUUUACAUGUUAAUAUACCUGUAAACAUUUUAAUUUGAUCAUUUUGUGUUUAUUCUAAACUGUUGAUUUAAUAAAGUUCAUGUUUUAUGUCAAAAGAAUGUGCUUGUGUUCAUUGGCUCGUUCUGUUCAUUUGGCCAAACUUGUACGUUGUUAAAAUGGAUCUUAAAGAUAUAAGCUGUUAUGUUUACAAAAAAAUGGAUAUCAUUGGUAUAAAUUUUCUCUGUACCUCAUUUGUUCCAAUUAAUCUGCUGUUUGAGUUUCUGCUAUUUUUGUUUUUGUUCAGAGAAUAAAAGUGUGCAAACUGAUCUUGAGCGUGGAGCGUGAUGGGAGGGUUUAGGGAAGUUCUGCUUGUUUGAGCAGAGAAUAGUGGCAUUAUUCCACAGGAAAAGGAAACGGCUCAGUUUGCAAACCCGGUGACACCUAAAGACCUUUGGUUCUGUGAACUCUGUGUUCAGACCAGUGCUGUAGAGACACAAACAACAUGUUUAAUGUGGGAGCUUCGCUCUAGUGUUUUUCAGGGUACAUGCGUCUCUUUCAGAAUCUUAUGAGAGGUGAGUUAUGAAAAGCAUCCAGGAAUCUCACUCAUAAAGUAAACAUGUCUGAACUUUGGUUGAUGUAAUGCAUGAGGAAUGUCAGUCUUACAGCUGUAGGAGACAUGGAAGCACAACUACAGCCAUUCGUUAGGACUGUCCUGCUUCUGCACGUCUGCUAUGACUGAUUCUGCAUGAGAUCUUUGUAUGUUUAUGUAGAUUGUUUUUCACGGCUCUCUGGAAUUCUUGAUUCUGAUUGGCCAGUUGCAGAUUGUAUUUUUAGUUUUAUUUCUUAUUUAAAUAAAUGCUAUUCUUUUGAACUUUCUAUUCAUCAAUGAAUAAAAAAAAAACUGUUUACGCAAAAAUAUUAAGCAGCACAGCUUAAUUCAAAAUUAAGAAAUUAAUUCAAAAAUAAGAAAUGUUUGUUGAGCAGCAAAUGACAAAUUGAGAUUAUGGUGGAUGUAAUGCCUGCAAUAUUUAGAUUAGUAAAUUACUUUUUAACAUUUACAUUUCUUGGCUACCAUAAAUGAUACAUGAACUUUAUAAUUUAAAUAAUUUAAAAUUUCUUUUAUUUAGCAUUUGUGUCUUUUUUAUUUGUAUUUCUGUUUCAAAUAAAUGCUUUAAAAAUUCACAGUUUUCACAAAAUAUUAAUAAUAUUAUUUAUUAAUUAUUAAUAAAUAAUUAUACUUCUUUCCUUUUUAUCAUUUAUUGGCAACCAUAAAGAAUCUAGACA
Molecule: long non-coding RNA, 1290 nt
Organism: Cyprinus carpio carpio
Lineage: Eukaryota; Metazoa; Chordata; Actinopteri; Cypriniformes; Cyprinidae
Source: Ensembl